GGAUGCGAUCAUAUCAGCACUAACGCACCGGAUCUCAUCAAAACUCCGCAGUUAAGCGUGUUUGGGCGAGAGUAGUACUAGGAUGGGUGACCUCCCGGAAAGUCCUCCUGUUGCAUCCC
RNAcentral lists this ribosomal RNA (119 nucleotides) under Arabidopsis thaliana (thale cress). Lineage: Eukaryota; Viridiplantae; Streptophyta; Magnoliopsida; Brassicales; Brassicaceae. The record is from RNAcentral.